This 218-nucleotide long non-coding RNA is filed under the name Manihot esculenta (cassava). Its description in RNAcentral is "long non-coding RNA (MESC_LNC005050)". The record is from RNAcentral. Lineage: Eukaryota; Viridiplantae; Streptophyta; Magnoliopsida; Malpighiales; Euphorbiaceae.
UAGGGGUGAGCAUUCGGUCGGUUCGGUUCAAAACCAAACCGAACCGAAUAAACCGAAAACCGAAAUUUUAGUUUUUAUGAAAACCGAACCGAACCGAUUUUGGUCAAAAACCGAAUCGAACCGAACCGGUCUGAUUCGGUUCGGUUCGGUUUGAUCGGUUUCGAUUUUUAAUAUUUUUUUAAUUUUUUACUCUUUAUUUUUAGUAUUUUAAAAUUUAA